AUGGAUUUGUUUCUAGGGCUCCUCUCCCUCCUUUGCUGCUGCUGCUUCUUCUUCUUCUAUUACCGUCACCUCCAGUCCAAGAAAGCAUGCAAGGCCGAGCCGACCGAAUGGCCGUUGCUCGGCCAUCUCUUGGGCAUGCUCGCCAACCUGUCCUGCUACCACGACUGGGCCACCGUCGUCCUCGCCGCCAGGCGCUACAACUUCCCGGCUCAGACGGGGCUCACCGGCGUCCGCUUCUUCAUCACCUGCGACCCCUCCAACGUGCGCCACAUCUUCACCUCUAACUUCCUGAACUACCCCAAGGGCGAGGAGUAUGCCGAGAUCUUCGACGUCUUGGGCCACGGCAUCUUCAACGCCGACGGCGAGUCCUGGCGGUGGCAGCGUGCCAAGUCCCAGCUCCUCAUGGCUGGCCCUCGUUUCCGCGCCUUCUCGGCACGGUGCACCCGCGACAAGGUGGACACGAGCCUCCUCCCUUUCCUUGCGCAUGUUGCCGACGCCGGCGAUCGCUGUGACCUGCACGACGUGCUCCUGAGGAUGACGUUCGACAUGACCUGCAACCUCGUCUUCGGGGUCGACCCCGGAUGCCUCCAGAUCGGCCUCCCCGUAGUGCCCUUCGCGCGCGCCAUGGACGACGUGCUCGACACCAUCUUCUUCCGGCACGUCUUCCCGCCGGCGUUGUGGAGGCUCAUGUACCGCUACGAGGUCGGCCCAGAGAAGAAGAUGGCCGUGGCCCGUAGGACCAUCGAUCGCUUCGCCGCCGACACCAUCGCGAAACGCAGGUCGUCCGAUGACCACAACCACAACGAGUCCUCCUCCGACGACAUGCUCUCCUCCUUCCUCUGCGGCAACGAUGACGCGAGCGACGAGUUCUUGCGUGACACCGCGGUGAACCUCCUUCUCGCCGGACGGGACACCACCGGCACGGCGCUGUCGUGGUUCUUCUACGUCGUAUGCAAGAACCCGCGCGUCCAGCAGAAGAUCCUGGACGAGCUGGCGCCGAUCGCUGCCACCAAGAAGCCGGAAGACAUGGUGUUCGAUGCUGGCGAUCUGAGCAGCUUGGUGUACCUGCACGCGGCGCUCUGCGAGUGCAUGAGGCUUUACCCGCCGGUGCCCUUCCAGCACAAGGCGGCGAUAGCCGAUGACGUGCUCCCGAGCGGUCACGAAAUGAAGGCCGGCGACAAGAUACUCCUCUACUCCUACUCCAUGGGGAGGAUGGAGGGAGUGUGGGGCAAGGACUGCAUGGAGUUCAGGCCAGAGAGGUGGAUCACCGACGACGGGAAGCUGAGGUACGAGCCGUCCUACAAGUUCAUCGCCUUCAACACCGGCCCCAGGACCUGCCUCGGCAAGGAGGUGGCCUUCACGCAGAUGAAGGCCGUCGCCGCAGCCGUGCUGUGGAACUUCGUCGUCGAGGCCGUGCCGGGGCACGUCGUGGAACCCAAGUUGUCCGUCAUACUCCACAUGAAGAACGGGCUCGCCGUGACGGUCAAGAGGAGGAACGUCGCCACGCGUGCAUGCUACCACAGAGUAAAUACUGCUGCUUGUGUUCGUGCAAGCGUCCAUGGUGUCCAUUAGCUUUGUUUUUCCAUUCUUCUACUUUUAUUUUUUUGGUUUUGUGUUUUCUCUCGAAGUUUCUACUUAGGUCUUGAUAUAUUACUCCGUGCAUUCUUAAAAGUAAGCCGUAUUUUGUUUGGUUAAGACAUGCAUAUCAUCAAUAAUUAC
Molecule: RNA transcript, 1719 nt
Organism: Hordeum vulgare subsp. vulgare (domesticated barley)
Lineage: Eukaryota; Viridiplantae; Streptophyta; Magnoliopsida; Poales; Poaceae
Gene name: noroxomaritidine synthase 2-like
Exons: 1
Source: RefSeq, a predicted model, not a curated record